RNAcentral lists this ribosomal RNA (406 nucleotides) under uncultured bacterium. RNAcentral describes it as "partial 16S ribosomal RNA". It matches the Rfam family "Bacterial small subunit ribosomal RNA", at positions 30 to 526 of the family's 1533-position model. The record is from RNAcentral.
AUUGAACGCUGGCGGCAGGCCUAACACAUGCAAGUAGAACGCAGUUGCGAACGGGUGAGUAACGCGUAGGUAACUGCCUCAUAGCGGGGGAUAACUAUUGGAAACGAUAGCUAAUACCGCAUACUGUGAGAUGGACCUGCGUUGUAUUAGCUAGUUGGUGAGGUAAAGGCUCACCAAGGCGACGAUACAUAGCCGACCUGAGAGGGUGUUGGGCCACACUGGGCUGGGUAACGGGCCAGACUCCUACGGGAGGCAGCAGGAGGGGAUUCUCCGGAAUUGAAGGAAAGCCGACCCAGGAACGGCGGGUGAGUUAAGGAGGUUUUCGGAACCUAAAGGUCUGUUGGUAGAGAAGCGGUAACUAACCAGAAAGGGACGGCUAACUACGUGCCAGCAGCCGCGGUAAUUC